AAAGCACCAUAGCAGCUUCAGAUAGCCAUGGAAACAGGAGGCUGGGAGAGGCAGCUGCAGCAGGCAAGAACAUGCCAAGCUGAACCAUGCUGAUGGAAAUUCCUGUUUGAAGAGAGGAAGAUUUUCUUUCUAUGGUACUAAAACAACUGGAGGCUGCAGUAAGUGUUGUGUCUUCUGUUGCUCUGAGCACUCCACUUAAACAUGACCAAGCAAAAAACAGUUUAUGCUCUAGAGAGUGUGUGUGCAUUUUAAGGCUAUAAACGUAGAUGGAAGAGAUGGUAAGGUAGAACGGAAAAGGGAGAACAAAAGGGAAAGGAGGGGUUAAAUACAUAAAAGUGAACAUAUGGCUCAAACUGAUGACAUCAAUUGUUUCAGCUCACCUCACACUGAAUUCUUUAGUCUUUC
Molecule: long non-coding RNA, 405 nt
Organism: Gallus gallus (chicken)
Lineage: Eukaryota; Metazoa; Chordata; Aves; Galliformes; Phasianidae
Source: Ensembl